GGGAGUAUAGCUCGGUGGUAGAGCACGUGCUUAGCAUGCGUGAUGGUCCUGGGUUCAAUCCCCAGUCCCUCCA
Molecule: transfer RNA, 73 nt
Filed under: Camelus bactrianus (Bactrian camel)
Lineage: Eukaryota; Metazoa; Chordata; Mammalia; Artiodactyla; Camelidae
Also listed under: 2 other names
Rfam family: tRNA
About the family: Transfer RNA (tRNA) molecules are approximately 80 nucleotides in length. Their secondary structure includes four short double-helical elements and three loops (D, anti-codon, and T loops).
Source: Rfam by way of RNAcentral